Molecule: ribosomal RNA, 504 nt
Filed under: uncultured bacterium
Lineage: Bacteria
Description: partial 16S ribosomal RNA
Rfam family: Bacterial small subunit ribosomal RNA
Source: RNAcentral
ACUCAAAUGAAUAGACGGGGGCCCGCACAAGCGGUGGAGCAUGGGGAUUAAUUCGUCACUAACCGAAGAACCUUACCCAGGCUUGACAUCCGCUGUAAGUCCGUGAAAGCGGUACCCCUCUCUCGCAAGAGAGAGCAGUGAGACAGGUGUUGCAUGGCUGUCGUCAGCUCGUGUCGUGAGAUGUUGGGUUAAGUCCCGCAACGAGCGCAACCCUCACGCGAUGUUGCCAGCGUCAAGUCGGGCACUCUUCGCGAACUGCCCGGGUAACCGGGAGGAAGGUGGGGAUGACGUCAAGUCGGCAUGGCCCUUACGCCUGGGGCUUCACCCAUGCUACAAUGGGCGCUACAGAGGGAUGCAAGACCGCGAGGUGGAGCCAAUCCCACAAAAGCGCUCUCAGUUCGGAUUGCAGGCUGCAACUCGCCUGCAUGAAGUCGGAAUCGCUAGUAACCGCCGGUCAGCUAAACGGCGGUGAAUACGUUCCCGGGCCUUGUACACACCGCCCGU